GGACCAGCUCAGUUACGGGUAGC
RNAcentral lists this non-coding RNA (23 nucleotides) under Arabidopsis thaliana (thale cress). The record is from RNAcentral. Lineage: Eukaryota; Viridiplantae; Streptophyta; Magnoliopsida; Brassicales; Brassicaceae.